GAGCAUAAUCCGCGAAAAUUUUAGUAAUGUAAAUAGUGACAUAACAAAUGUUACUAAAAGGCUUUUAGUAACGCAAAAAUGUCAUUAAAAGUAUAUCUUUUACAACAUGUAAGGGUGCGUCGCUAAAACCUUUAGCUACGCGGAUACAAUGACAGUUCUAGCGAUGAAUGGCUUUUCGUCGCUAAUACCUUUACCGACGUGUUUUGGGUUUUAGUGACGUUUUUCGUGUGUCACUAAGAAUGAUAUUUCUUGUAGUGAGGCCCAUCUUUGAUAGGGUCAAAGUUCGAUUUAUUUUGCUAUGAGUCUCUUAUUCCUCCUCAAGAUCCCCUACAACUCAUCUUCUUACUUCAAGUCUUUCCCUAGCUUGGAACAGUUCUAUUCUUUCUAACCUCACAUUGAUUAAAGUCUCCAAGUGUCGCAUGGCUUUCUCGUCAAGUUCUUGUAUCAGUCCUGUGAAUGCACUUCCAUUGCUACAAAACAAAAACAAGUGAAAGUAAUGUGAACCUGAAAAAUCACUUUCUCACGUGUUUCUGUCGGCAGGUGAUGUUUCACUCAUCUCUAGAAAAAGCUCUAAAAAAGGAGAAUGAACCAGAGUUUUUGCAAUCAAAGAUUCAACAACAAAACAAGCAGGAAUAUAAUGACGGUAACGUGUCAAACUCAAGCAAAAAAAUAGUUACAUUCAAUAAAACGAAAGAAAACUAGAAAUCAAAAUCCUAAUUUUCAAGAUUCAACAAACUAGAUAAGAAACAACAAAAAUCAUAAAAUUUAAAUUCAAAGAAUUAUGCAAGAUGAACAAAAAGAAAGAAAAGAAAAGAAAAGAAAAGAAAAAGAUAAACAAGCAGACAAAACAAUGAUAAAAAGAAUAAGAAAAUUAAGAAUAAAAGCUAGCUACACUAAUUAAGCAAGCAAAAGCAGUUUUAUAACAAUUCACUAAUUGACGUAUCUGCUUGACGUGCUUGCUUGUGCUUCCAAUUUUUUUCUUCUCAAAUUCACGUUUCUUCAACAAACACUUUGUCUUUUUUCCUAAGUUUCACGAUUCCUUCAUGCCUAAAGUUAUCUUUCUUUGAUUCACGAUUUUCAACUUCAAGUAAAUUUAGGGAAUUCAACUUCACUUUUUUUCCAAUCCACUCAAGAAAACAAUUAAACAUAAACUCAACCUAAAUCUAAAGCCUAGACUCUGAUAUCAAUUAUAUGAAAACCCAAAGUUUUAAAAAUUAGAAACCCAAUAUCAAAUUUUAAGACCCCAGUCAAAUUGACAAUGAUCUAAGAAAAUGAAUUAGACUUGGAUUACUCUUUGAUCGAAAACUAAGAGAUCAGGAGAACUAGUUUCUCACUCCACGUUUGAACACUCUACAAUCAAAAUGAUCCUUGGCAUGCAACCAGAAUCAAGAAUGGCAAAAGGAUAGUGAUAAGGCUUUGUCAUUUACCGUAGAAUUUUUAUUGAUUAAAAUCCCUAAAUCUCAAGAAACAUAAAAACUAAUGUGUUGUGUUUGUUUCCCUACUUUAAACCAAAUCUACUGCACUGGAAGGAACAUAAAUAAUUCAUUCUACCCCUCACUCAAAUGAUCUAAAAUCAAAAUAAACAUGUAUGGUCCAAUAAUAAAGAAACAAAAAACAAAAAGUAUGAUUUUGCAGGUCAACUGGUUUCAUAAAUUACAAAGCUCAACUAGUUUCAUUCUCUAGUGUCAACUAAUUGCGAUUAAUUCUCUAGCAUCAACUAAUUGCGAUUAUAAAGCUUCUGACCAACUGUUGACUCGAACCUCCUUAAUAGAUUUCACUUUUUAUUGAAUUCUAUUCAAUGUUAAAACGUCUAAUUCACGUACCAUCGCACUGUUACUCAAAUUUCAUAGCAGUCACCUGGGAAGCCAUCAAAGAGCCUAGAGACAUACCAAGGGUUAGCUCGACAGGUUAAUUGGAAGAGGAUGGAGGCUCACGUACGGAAGCUUGUGGUUGAAUGUUACAUUUUUCAGCAAGCUAUAGGUAUUUAACUUGAACUCCAGCCAACUUACUUCAAGCUCUUUCCAUUUUGGAUUCGUAUUUGGGAAGAUAGUAGCAUGGAUUCUAUUGAAAGAUUGCUAAUAUCAAAUGGAUUGACACAAUUUCGGUUGUUGUCGAGUUAUCCAAGCAUGCUCAUUUCACUCCACUCAAAGAUCCUUUUGUAGCUAAAUCCAUAGCAAAAAUUUCUGUAUGAGAAACCAUGCAAUUACCUGUUGCACCCACGAUAUUAUUUCAAACCGUGGAUCAUUCAUUAGCAUGUUUUGGG
RNAcentral lists this long non-coding RNA (2263 nucleotides) under Cucumis sativus (cucumber). RNAcentral's name for it is "long non-coding RNA (CSAT_LNC000633)". The record is from RNAcentral. Lineage: Eukaryota; Viridiplantae; Streptophyta; Magnoliopsida; Cucurbitales; Cucurbitaceae.